ACAGCUUACUGGCUAUUGGGGGUCUAAAAUAUAAUUUGUUUGAAUAUUUGACACUCUGCUCUGCCCAGGAUACUACGUAUAGCCAAUGUCAGAAGAAUAAAUAUCAACAGUGUUAUUUUGUCACCGUAUAUACACCCCCUCUCCCAUAUAC
Molecule: long non-coding RNA, 151 nt
Organism: Thalassophryne amazonica
Lineage: Eukaryota; Metazoa; Chordata; Actinopteri; Batrachoidiformes; Batrachoididae
Exons: 3
Source: RefSeq, a predicted model, not a curated record